UUAAGUUCAGCGGGUAGUCCUACCUGAUUCGAGGUCAACCUUGUAAAAGUCGGGGGUUUUACGGCGUGGGCACGACGGGCUCCGGUGCGAGGUGUUGCUACUACGCACGGGGGGCCGCGACGUGACCGCCACUGCAUUUGGGGGACGGCGGGCGGGGGGCUCCCGGGGGAGCCUCCGCCUUGUGCCGAUCCCCAACACCG
Molecule: unclassified non-coding RNA, 200 nt
Filed under: Hypocreales sp.
Lineage: Eukaryota; Fungi; Ascomycota; Sordariomycetes; Hypocreales
Description: partial internal transcribed spacer 2
Source: RNAcentral